AUUGAACGCUGGCGGCAGGCCUAACACAUGCAAGUCGAGCGGAUGAAGGGAGCUUGCUCCUGGAUUCAGCGGCGGACGGGUGAGUAAUGCCUAGGAAUCUGCCUGGUAGUGGGGGAUAACGUCCGGAAACGGGCGCUAAUACCGCAUACGUCCUGAGGGAGAAAGUGGGGGAUCUUCGGACCUCACGCUAUCAGAUGAGCCUAGGUCGGAUUAGCUAGUUGGCGGGGUAAAGGCCUACCAAGGCGACGAUCCGUAACUGGUCUGAGAGGAUGAUCAGUCACACUGGAACUGAGACACGGUCCAGACUCCUACGGGAGGCAGCAGUGGGGAAUAUUGGACAAAGGGCGAAAGCCUGAUCCAGCCAUGCCGCGUGUGUGAAGAAGGUCUUCGGAUUGUAAAGCACUUUAAGUUGGGAGGAAGGGCAGUAAGUUAAUACCUUGCUGUUUUGACGUUACCAACAGAAUAAGCACCGGCUAACUUCGUG
RNAcentral lists this ribosomal RNA (484 nucleotides) under uncultured bacterium. RNAcentral's name for it is "partial 16S ribosomal RNA". It matches the Rfam family "Bacterial small subunit ribosomal RNA", at positions 30 to 507 of the family's 1533-position model. The record is from RNAcentral.